AUGAACGCUGGCGGCGUGCCUAAUACAUGCCAGUCGAGCGAACAGACGAGGAGCUUGCUCCUCUGACGUUAGCGGCGGACGGGUGAGUAACACGUGGAUAACCUACCUAUAAGACUGGGAUCACUUCGGGAAACCGGAGCUAAUACCGGAUAAUAUAUUGAACCGCAUGGUUCAAUAGUGAAAGACGGUUUUGCUGUCACUUAUAGAUGGAUCCGCGCCGCAUUAGCUAGUUGGUAAGGUAACGGCUUACCAAGGCAACGAUGCGUAGCCGACCUGAGAGGGUGAUCGGCCACACUGGAACUGAGACACGGUCCAGACUCCUACGGGAGGCAGCAGUAGGGAAUCUUCCGCAAUGGGCGAAAGCCUGACGGAGCAACGCCGCGUGAGUGAUGAAGGUCUUCGGAUCGUAAAACUCUGUUAUUAGGGAAGAACAAAUGUGUAAGUAACUAUGCACGUCUUGACGGUACCUAAUCAGAAAGCCACGGCUAACUACGUG
This 496-nucleotide ribosomal RNA is filed under the name uncultured bacterium. RNAcentral's name for it is "partial 16S ribosomal RNA". It matches the Rfam family "Bacterial small subunit ribosomal RNA", at positions 29 to 507 of the family's 1533-position model. The record is from RNAcentral.